UCCAUGGUGUAGCAAUACACCGGAAGAUUUAGUGGCGAACGGGUGAGGAUCACGUGAGAAACCUGCCCCAGACUUUGGGAUAACAGUUGGAAACGACUGCUAAUACCGAAUGACGUCGGAGAACCACAUGGUUCACUGACGAAGGAAUCCGGUUUGGGAGGGUCUCGCGGCCUAUCAGCUUGUUGGUGGGGUAAUGGCCUACCAAGGCAACGACGGGUAGCUGGGUCUGGAGAGGAUGAUCAGCCACACUGGGACUGAGACACGGCCCAGACUCC
Molecule: ribosomal RNA, 275 nt
Filed under: unidentified marine bacterioplankton
Lineage: Bacteria
Description: partial 16S ribosomal RNA
Rfam family: Bacterial small subunit ribosomal RNA
Source: RNAcentral